UAGCAUAUUAGCUCAAGCCCAUAGCUCUAAAACAUCUCUAAUCUGUAUCCCCCACAGAAUCCAUAAUCUAACCUAAAUGAAAUCUCAAACCCAAUUCGGCAAUUCCAAUUGCCUUCUCCAUCUCCAAUCUCUUUUUUAAUGCAAUAUUCCCAAUUGACAAUGUUAAACCCUAAAUUUCCUUCCGAAUCCCCAUCCCUACGCUGACGCCCUCUACGAAGUUCUGCUCAAAGGUGCUGAAAAUGUCACUUCUGUUCUUGAAGAAAUGGUCAAGCUCGUAAGUCCCAUUUUCUUACAUUGGAGGAAUGGAAUUUCAAUUUCGAUAUCAUUUUCGUUUCUAUUUCUUGUUGUCUUUUGCUUAUUUCAAAAGGAAUGUUUUAUUUAUAAAUUAUAUACUAUUAACCGUUAAUACCUAGUUCUGUGAACUCUAUAUUACUUUUUGCGUGUUAAUUUUGUUUUCACUGUUAAAUAUUAUGUUAUCUUUUGAUGGAUGGACUUGUGGUUGUGGACAGCUUCCCCGAUUCCCGUCCUGAUUCCUGUUCCUUUCAGCGAAGAAGAUGCUCUAAUUGCUGGCUACUCUGGUAGAAGAGAAGCUCCAAUCUACUUCCCUUAGUAAGUUAGCGCCUUUCUCUCGCUACUUGAACGUGUAUAUUUGUAUAAUAGUAUGUAAAAGAAGAAAUAGAAUCUCCAAAUUAAAACAUUGGUUUGAAGUGAUUGCGUUUUGCUUUAUGAAUUAGGA
Molecule: long non-coding RNA, 736 nt
Filed under: Olea europaea subsp. europaea
Lineage: Eukaryota; Viridiplantae; Streptophyta; Magnoliopsida; Lamiales; Oleaceae
Source: RNAcentral